UAGAGGGCAACCUGCCUAUAAGACUGGGAUAACUUCGGGAAACCGGAGCUAAUACCGGAUACGUUCUUUUCUCGCAUGAGAGAAGAUGGAAAGACGGUUUACGCUGUCACUUAUAGAUGGGCCCGCGGCGCAUUAGCUAGUUGGUGAGGUAAUGGCUCACCAAGGCGACGAUGCGUAGCCGACCUGAGAGGGUGAUCGGCCACACUGGGACUGAGACACGGCCCAGACUCCUACGGGAGGCAGCAGUAGGGAAUCUUCCGCAAUGGACGAAAGUCUGACGGAGCAACGCCGCGUGAACGAAGAAGGCCUUCGGGUCGUAAAGUUCUGUUGUUAGGGAAGAACAAGUACCAGAGUAACUGCUGGUACCUUGACGGUACCUAACCAGAAAGCCACGGCUAACUACGUGCCAGCAGCCGCGGUAAUACGUAGGUGGCAAGCGUUGUCCGGAAUUAUUGGGCGUAAAGCGCGCGCAGGUGGUUCCUUAAGUCUGAUGUGAAAGCCCACGGCUCAACCGUGGAGGGUCAUUGGAAACUGGGGAACUUGAGUGCAGAAGAGGAAAGUGGAAUUCCAAGUGUAGCGGUGAAAUGCGUAGAGAUUUGGAGGAACACCAGUGGCGAAGGCGACUUUCUGGUCUGUAACUGACACUGAGCGCG
RNAcentral lists this ribosomal RNA (653 nucleotides) under Peribacillus simplex. RNAcentral's name for it is "bacterial SSU rRNA". It matches the Rfam family "Bacterial small subunit ribosomal RNA", at positions 115 to 755 of the family's 1533-position model. The record is from RNAcentral. Lineage: Bacteria; Bacillati; Bacillota; Bacilli; Caryophanales; Bacillaceae.